GUAGGGAAUAUUGCGCAAUGGGGGAAACCCUGACGCAGCGACGCCGCGUGAGUGAUGAAGGCCUUCGGGUCGUAAAGCUCUGUUGCAGGGGAAUAAAAAAAUGAAGGUACCCUGUGAGGAAGGAUCGGCUAACUUCGUGCCAGCAGCCGCGGUAAGACGAGGGAUCCUAGCGUUGCUCGGAAUCAUUGGGCGUAAAGAGGGCGUAGGUGGCUUGGUAAGUCAGGUGUGAAAGCCCAGGGCUCAACCCUUGAAGUGCAUUUGAUACUGCUGAGCUUGAGUGUCGGAGAGGUUACCGGAAUACCUGGUGUAGUGGUGAAAUACGUAGAUAUCAGGUGGAACACCGGAGGCGAAGGCGGGUAACUGGACGAACACUGACACUGAGGCCCGAAAGCGUGGGGAUCAAACAGGAUUAGAAACCCGUGUAGUCC
This 428-nucleotide ribosomal RNA is filed under the name uncultured bacterium. RNAcentral's name for it is "partial 16S ribosomal RNA". It matches the Rfam family "Bacterial small subunit ribosomal RNA", at positions 354 to 796 of the family's 1533-position model. The record is from RNAcentral.